GCCCGUGUGGCGCAAUUGGUUAGCGCGUGAGACUUUUAAGCCUCAUAAUCUCAAGGUUGCGGGUUCGAGUCCCGCCACAGGCU
Non-coding RNA from Hydnum rufescens UP504, 83 nucleotides. Lineage: Eukaryota; Fungi; Basidiomycota; Agaricomycetes; Cantharellales; Hydnaceae. The record is from the annotation of a GenBank genome assembly.